AAGGCUUUAAGUUAAGUAAACUCAUAGCCUUCAAAGCUGUAAAUAAAGGAUACACCUUUAAGCUUUA
This 67-nucleotide transfer RNA is filed under the name Limnius volckmari. Its description in RNAcentral is "tRNA-Trp". It matches the Rfam family "tRNA". From Rfam's summary of the family: Transfer RNA (tRNA) molecules are approximately 80 nucleotides in length. Their secondary structure includes four short double-helical elements and three loops (D, anti-codon, and T loops). The record is from RNAcentral. Lineage: Eukaryota; Metazoa; Arthropoda; Insecta; Coleoptera; Elmidae.